This 572-nucleotide ribosomal RNA is filed under the name Bacillus cereus. Its description in RNAcentral is "bacterial SSU rRNA". It matches the Rfam family "Bacterial small subunit ribosomal RNA", at positions 57 to 611 of the family's 1533-position model. Lineage: Bacteria; Bacillati; Bacillota; Bacilli; Caryophanales; Bacillaceae. The record is from RNAcentral.
GCAGUCGAGCGAUGGAUUAAGAGCUUGCUCUUAUGAAGUUAGCGGCGGACGGGUGAGUAACACGUGGGUAACCUGCCCAUAAGACUGGGAUAACUCCGGGAAACCGGGGCUAAUACCGGAUAACAUUUUGAACUGCAUGGUUCGAAAUUGAAAGGCGGCUUCGGCUGUCACUUAUGGAUGGACCCGCGUCGCAUUAGCUAGUUGGUGAGGUAACGGCUCACCAAGGCAACGAUGCGUAGCCGACCUGAGAGGGUGAUCGGCCACACUGGGACUGAGACACGGCCCAGACUCCUACGGGAGGCAGCAGUAGGGAAUCUUCCGCAAUGGACGAAAGUCUGACGGAGCAACGCCGCGUGAGUGAUGAAGGCUUUCGGGUCGUAAAACUCUGUUGUUAGGGAAGAACAAGUGCUAGUUGAAUAAGCUGGCACCUUGACGGUACCUAACCAGAAAGCCACGGCUAACUACGUGCCAGCAGCCGCGGUAAUACGUAGGUGGCAAGCGUUAUCCGGAAUUAUUGGGCGUAAAGCGCGCGCAGGUGGUUUCUUAAGUCUGAUGUGAAAGCCCACGGCUCA